This 121-nucleotide small RNA is filed under the name Marmota monax (woodchuck). Lineage: Eukaryota; Metazoa; Chordata; Mammalia; Rodentia; Sciuridae. The record is from RNAcentral.
GCCAGGCACGUUGGCACAUGCCUAUAAUCCCAGCAACUCUGGAGGCUGAGGCGGGAGGAUCACAAGUUCAAAGCCAGCCUCAGCAAAAGGCUCUAAGCAACUCGGUGAAACCCUGUCUCUA